RNAcentral lists this transfer RNA (76 nucleotides) under Staphylococcus aureus. RNAcentral's name for it is "tRNA-Thr". It matches the Rfam family "tRNA". From Rfam's summary of the family: Transfer RNA (tRNA) molecules are approximately 80 nucleotides in length. Their secondary structure includes four short double-helical elements and three loops (D, anti-codon, and T loops). Further hydrogen bonds mediate the characteristic L-shaped molecular structure. tRNAs have two regions of fundamental functional importance: the anti-codon, which is responsible for specific mRNA codon recognition, and the 3' end, to which the tRNAs corresponding amino acid is attached (by aminoacyl-tRNA synthetases). tRNAs cope with the degeneracy of the genetic code in two manners: having more than one tRNA (with a specific anti-codon) for a particular amino acid; and 'wobble' base-pairing, i.e. permitting non-standard base-pairing at the 3rd anti-codon position. The record is from RNAcentral. Lineage: Bacteria; Bacillati; Bacillota; Bacilli; Caryophanales; Staphylococcaceae.
GCCGGCCUAGCUAAAUUGGUAGAGCAACUGACUUGUAAUCAGUAGGUUGGGGGUUCAAGUCCUCUGGCCGGCACCA